GUCAGUUGCUGCCUGGAGUCCCUUUUCUUUCCUCUAUUGUUCUCUUAAUUGUUACUUCAAAACAAUUAGCUGGGCAUUCAUAUGCAAAUGAAUGCAAAUGUACAGGGGAUUGGGUGUGAGAGAAUACCACCACUCGUUAAUUUCCACUUCAAGGUCUGCUGGUAGAAACAACAAAAUUGCUUAACAAUGUAUUUUUCCUGGGCCAUAAAGGGUGAACUCGCGACGAUUCCAGCCAUCCUGCUGGCUCGGCAAUUGUUCAGAUUCAGCCGGUUUUUGGCAAAACUCCGAUAAUCCACAGUACUAUAGCUUUCAUGUGCUGGGGCACCAUGCCAGUGUUGCAACUGCUGCAGAAGUGACCCUAUUGCUGAGAAAGGAAAAGAGGUUUUCUGUGAAAAAAAAUGAUUCAGUCCAUGUGAUGGCAAACAAAUCAUCCUUGGUUUUGAGGAGGACUGCUGCAACAGAGAUAAUAGGAUUUCCCAUGAGUGGAAGCCUUCCCUGUUGGGGUACCAACAGAAAAACAAGUGGAGAUGUAGUCCUGCUACCCACAGGCAACCAAUGGAAAACUACAGAAGGAUCUCAGUUAGAUCUGAUCCUACAGAAGGAUCUGAGUUAUAAACUCAGUCUUCCUAGUCAAAAGAUUUUGAACCCAAGCAAGUAUGGCAAGAUCUAUUUAGCUGGAAUGAGUAAAAGGAACUGGAAUAACUUAAAAAAAAAAAAAAAACAACAGUCUCUCUCCUUACGGAAAAACUUGGUCUCUUUAUGCCUGGUUAAUUAAUAUCCUCACAAGAAUGAAAAGACCUUCCUACACUGACAUUCCAAAACAAGAGUUGAAAAGAGAAGCCUUGCCAACAGAGAACAUCAGCACUUUUUAAUUAUGCUCUUUGUGGUAAAAGGUGGGCCGGUGAGAUGACCUACAGGAGGAAGUCAGCACUUUUUGAUUUCCAUGGACAUAAAUAGGAGCCAUUACUUUCAGAGUGACGUAUGUAUCACUGGAAAUACCUAGAGGAGACACCAAGCAAAAUGGAAAGUCUAUGAGUAAUGUUUCAGAGAGGAAGAAAUGCAGUGCCCCAUUUUGGGACGUCCAUUUUGACUCAUAGCAUUUGCACACCGAACAGUUUCCUUCAAGAAAUAAACUUUAUCCAAGGAGCAGCUAGAUGCCUGUACCUGUUCCAAUUGCACCACUCUACUUGUUUCUCUUCAUGCAGCCAGGAGACUACCAAAAUCUCUGAUCUUCUGGUUCCAGUGAUUUCUUAGGAAUCACCCUCAGAAAACCAUGGAUGCCACAAUGCUAUGUGCUGAGAUUCCCUGAACAGUAUGGAUGCAAGAGGAAGGCUUCAUCUGAGUGAUUAUAAGCAAAAGGAAUUAAUAUAUUUUACAUUCUGAAUUAGAAAAGCAAUUGGGAAGGCCCUCUAAUUUGAACACAGUUGGCAAUGGGUAUUAGCACAUAUAAUAUCAAUAAUAAUUGUACCACAUUUUUGGGGAGAUUCUGCAUGUCUACUUUUGAAACAGUUCAGGAAGAUGCAUUCCACAAAUACCACUGGAACUCUGCCACUUACCUUCUGCAUGCUAUUUUGGAUUUAUUUUUUCUGUGUAUUACUCUCCAAACAUACAUCUGAGACCAUUAAAUAAAGCAGGAAUGCAUGGUAUUGAUAAAACUUUAAAAUAAUAGAAUGACUUCUUACAGUAUACAGAGAUAAUUUCUACAAUCCUUGUUCUCAG
This is a long non-coding RNA of Gallus gallus (chicken), 1719 nucleotides long. Lineage: Eukaryota; Metazoa; Chordata; Aves; Galliformes; Phasianidae. The record is from Ensembl.